GUGGUUGUAGCUCAGCUGGUUAGAGCGCUGGUUUGUGGUACCAGAGGUCGCCGGUUCGAAACCGGUCUUCCACCC
This 75-nucleotide transfer RNA is filed under the name Dokdonia donghaensis DSW-1. RNAcentral describes it as "tRNA-His". It matches the Rfam family "tRNA". Rfam says of the family: Transfer RNA (tRNA) molecules are approximately 80 nucleotides in length. Their secondary structure includes four short double-helical elements and three loops (D, anti-codon, and T loops). Further hydrogen bonds mediate the characteristic L-shaped molecular structure. tRNAs have two regions of fundamental functional importance: the anti-codon, which is responsible for specific mRNA codon recognition, and the 3' end, to which the tRNAs corresponding amino acid is attached (by aminoacyl-tRNA synthetases). tRNAs cope with the degeneracy of the genetic code in two manners: having more than one tRNA (with a specific anti-codon) for a particular amino acid; and 'wobble' base-pairing, i.e. permitting non-standard base-pairing at the 3rd anti-codon position. The record is from RNAcentral. Lineage: Bacteria; Pseudomonadati; Bacteroidota; Flavobacteriia; Flavobacteriales; Flavobacteriaceae.